This is a long non-coding RNA of Prosopis cineraria, 507 nucleotides long. RefSeq lists it as uncharacterized. NCBI's taxonomy places the organism in Eukaryota, Viridiplantae, Streptophyta, Magnoliopsida, Fabales, Fabaceae. The transcript is spliced from 3 exons. The record is from RefSeq and is a predicted model, not a curated record.
CUACUAGCUAGCUUAUACAUAUCAGCGCCCACUUAAGCAAUCCACGACACAGAUCACACGGAGAGAUCUUAGGAUUGAAGAUAGAUUAAACAGUAUGAGAAUCAUCAUGAAAGUUUUGUUGUGUUUUCUUGGAAUGAUCAUCACAGUGAUCGCAGGAGAUGUAGCAGAAGGUGAAGAUUGCCAAUCUGAUCUGAUAGGGUUAGAGAUAGAGUGUCUGUAUUACAUGCACAAGGGAGUGCCUCCAUUGCAGGACCCUAAUGAUCGAUGCUGCAAAGACGAUUCAGGUGGCCAAUAUACCAUGCGUCUGCACCAAACUCACCCAGAAAAUCAUAAUACCACCUGGAUAUACCAUUGAAGAUUUGCUUGACUGGCAGAAAGUGUUGCACUGUUUGAACUUCUGCGGCAAACCUUUACCUCCUGGCUUCAAGUGUGGACAUUUCACCGUCCCCCCAGCUAGACCACCACACAAGUGAGGAUUUGGAAGAUGGCUAUGAUUUUGGAAGAGAU